UACAGAGGUCUCAAGCGUUGUUCGGAUUCAUUGGGCGUAAAGGGUGUGUAGGUGGCGCCGUAAGUCGGGUGUGAAAUUUCGGAGCUUAACUCCGAAACUGCAUUCGAUACUGCGGUGCUUGAGGACUGGAGAGGAGACUGGAAUUCAUGGUGUAGCAGUGAAAUGCGUAGAGAUCAUGAGGAAGACCAGUGGCGAAGGCGACUCUUUGGCCUGUAACUGACGCUGAGGCGCGAAAGCGUGGGGAGCAAACAGG
RNAcentral lists this ribosomal RNA (253 nucleotides) under uncultured bacterium. RNAcentral's name for it is "partial 16S ribosomal RNA". It matches the Rfam family "Bacterial small subunit ribosomal RNA", at positions 524 to 776 of the family's 1533-position model. The record is from RNAcentral.